This 106-nucleotide non-coding RNA is filed under the name Anaerovibrio lipolyticus. Its description in RNAcentral is "TPP sequence". It matches the Rfam family "TPP riboswitch aptamer (THI element)". From Rfam's summary of the family: Vitamin B(1) in its active form thiamin pyrophosphate (TPP) is an essential coenzyme that is synthesised by coupling of pyrimidine and thiazole moieties in bacteria. The record is from Rfam by way of RNAcentral. Lineage: Bacteria; Bacillati; Bacillota; Negativicutes; Selenomonadales; Selenomonadaceae.
CAGAAUAGCAAGGGGAGCGGAAAUGCUGAGAGGUGUGUAUGAAAAGACACACGACCCUGAACCUGAUUUGGAUAAUGCCAACGUAGGAAUGCUUACAGAGCAUAUA